This 373-nucleotide ribosomal RNA is filed under the name uncultured organism. Its description in RNAcentral is "bacterial SSU rRNA". It matches the Rfam family "Bacterial small subunit ribosomal RNA", at positions 526 to 896 of the family's 1533-position model. The record is from RNAcentral.
CGUAGGUGGCGAGCGUUGUCCGGAAUUACUGGGUGUAAAGGGCGUGUAGGCGGGAAUGUAAGUCAGAUGUGAAAUGCCGAGGCUUAACCUCGGAGCUGCAUCUGAAACUGCGUUUCUUGAGUGUCGGAGAGGAAAGUGGAAUUCCCAGUGUAGCGGUGAAAUGCGUAGAUAUUGGGAGGAACACCAGUGGCGAAGGCGACUUUCUGGACGAUAACUGACGCUGAGGCGCGAAAGCGUGGGGAGCAAACAGGAUUAGAUACCCUGGUAGUCCACGCCGUAAACGAUGGAUACUUAGGUGUGGGAGGUAUCGACCCCUUCCGUGCCGCAGUUAACACAAUAAGUAUCCCACCUGGGGAGUACGGCCGCAAGGUUG